ACUCUGGGUGGGGCUAGAGGUGGCAUUUCCGAUCACUCACAGCUUCUCUUGCACACCCAG
Molecule: microRNA precursor, 60 nt
Filed under: Chlorocebus sabaeus (green monkey)
Lineage: Eukaryota; Metazoa; Chordata; Mammalia; Primates; Cercopithecidae
Description: miRNA (ENSCSAG00000021631.1)
Source: RNAcentral